This 253-nucleotide ribosomal RNA is filed under the name uncultured bacterium. RNAcentral's name for it is "partial 16S ribosomal RNA". It matches the Rfam family "Bacterial small subunit ribosomal RNA", at positions 524 to 776 of the family's 1533-position model. The record is from RNAcentral.
UACGUAGGGUGCGGGCGUUGUCCGGAAUUAUUGGGCGUAAAGAGCUUGUAGGCGGUUUGUCGCGUCUGCUGUGAAAAUCCGGGGCUCAACCCCGGACUUGCAGUGGGUACGGGCAGGCUAGAGUGUGGUAGGGGAGACUGGAAUUCCUGGUGUAGCGGUGAAAUGCGCAGAUAUCAGGAGGAACACCGAUGGCGAAGGCAGGUCUCUGGGCCACUACUGACGCUGAGAAGCGAAAGCAUGGGGAGCGAACAGG